AUUGAACGCUGGCGGAAUGCUUUACACAUGUAAGUCGAACGGCAGCACGGACUUCGGUCUGGUGGCGAGUGGCGAACGGGUGAGUAACAUAUCGGAACGUAUCCAAUAAUGGGGGAUAACGAGUCGAAAGAUUCGCUAAUACCGCAUACGCCCUACGGGGGAAAGCUGGGGACCUUCGGGCCUGGCGUUAAUGGAACGGCCGAUAUCUGAUUAGCUAGUUGGUGAGGUAAAGGCUCACCAAGGCGACGAUCAGUAGCUGGUCUGAGAGGACGACCAGCCACACUGGAACUGAGACACGGUCCAGACUCCUACGGGAGGCAGCAGUGGGGAAUUUUGGACAAUGGGCGCAAGCCUGAUCCAGCCAUUCCGCGUGAGUGAAGAAGGCCUUCGGGUUGUAAAGCUCUUUCGCAAGGGAAGAAAACUUAGCCACUAACAUUGGUUGAGGUUGACGGUACCUUGAUAAGAAGCACCGGCUAACUACGUGCCAGCCGCCGCGGUAA
This 500-nucleotide ribosomal RNA is filed under the name uncultured bacterium. Its description in RNAcentral is "partial 16S ribosomal RNA". It matches the Rfam family "Bacterial small subunit ribosomal RNA", at positions 30 to 523 of the family's 1533-position model. The record is from RNAcentral.